CUGGUCUGCUGCUCUGACAGAGAUCACAGCUCAAACCGUGCACAGAUGAUGCAGCUGUGCAACAGGUCAUAUUUAAUUGCUUUAAAAUGACGGCACCGAGGAAAGGACAUCUCAUUUCUUUAAAUGCCUGUUUGAGCAGUCGAGGGGGCAGAAAUUUAGGAAAUGAGAAAGGCCCAAUGUAGUCUUGUGUGUUCCUUGUAAACAGGUCUGUACCUGCUGGAUGAUAGCGGGUGCUCCUUGGGGUUUCCGCUGCGUCUCUUUUGGUAUAUGCGUUGCUCCACUGCUGCCUCGAUCUGUUUUCCCAUGGCAGGUGUCCUCGGUGCUUGCUUUCUCCAUCUCCAUGCGACGGCAUGUAUGUGCAGCAACAUGUUAUCGCACCAUAUUUUUGUCAUUCUGCACAUUGCUGCAGCUCCUCUUUUCACCUUGUGUGUUGACGACAUGUCUCUAAUAGGGGUGUAACAAUCCAUCGAUCCAUAUCGAUUAAAUAAUCAGCAAUCUAAUAUAGUCGAUUUAAAAUGAAAACAUCGAUACGUAUCAUCAUUUAUAAUAUGCGCCUUUAUUUUGAAAUCCCCAUAACACCCCUGCAUCUUUAUUUCCGUUGGCACUGCUCCUUCCUAAACAAUGUUAGCGGUGCCAUGCUCAUGGCAGGUAGCCAAGAAAAGGACGAGGAAAUUUUAGCACACGCUGGAACAAUUCGUUUGACAAAAACUAAACUAAGGAAAGCAAAUGACGUACAUACACUCAACGAAAGUGACAUCACUACAGCUGAAGACUUGGUGAAGCUACUUGGACCAGUGAAAAGUGCCACCAUCAUCAUGUGUGAGGAACAUCAGCCCACUGUGUCUGUCAUUGCACCACUUAAAGCUAAAUUGUUGGAGCACUUCAGUGUCUCAGAGAAAGACUCCACUUUAGUAACAGAGAUAAAGCAGACUAUGGCCAGGGAGCUUGAACAGCGAUACGUGGAUGUGCAGCAAGUCCUACAUAAAGCAUCUGCCAUUAGAUCCAAGGUUCGUGAAGCUGCCAUUCAGAAGUGAGGAGGAGAGCGGUGCAACCUUCCACUGUCUCAUACGUGAGGCUGCAGAGCUGUGGGACCAGAAAAGUGACACAGUGGCACAUAUUGAGAAUACACCUCUUCACUCAUCUGGUGACCAAACUUCUGCUGAUCAAUCUGAGUCGGUGCCAGUGUCUCAGGCUCAAGCCACUGAACAAGAAGUCAAAGGCACUUGAAGAUCUCUUUGGUGACACCUUCUGCACUGUGGACACUAGCCAGACAGUCAAGACCUCCAGAGAACUAGCCCAUGCUGAAGCUACUAAGUAUAAAGACACUGCAUCUUUGAUCCUGGGAGGUAAUGUGUUGGAAAGUUCAACAGGAUGAGCUUCCUCUCCUGGCAAACCUUGCCAAAACAUAACUUUGCAUUCCUGGUACUAGGGUACCUUCUGAGCGUGUAUUUACUACUGCAGGUGACAUUGUUCGUUCAAAACGCAGUGUUUUGUCUCCUGAACAUGUCGAUCAGUUGUUUUUUUGAAGAAAAACCUCUCAAAGAAGAACACUGAUGGACAUAAUUGACUAUUGUAGAGAUUCCAUAGUAAGCUAUGAUCCAAAUAGUCAUCAAACCUACAGAUGACUACAUGCAAAGGACUUUAAGUAUUUGUACUUGUUCAAUAUGCACAAAUUUGGAAUUGUUUACAUUUGCUUUGUUGUGAUAUUUUGAUUUGGUGAAGAAAACUUUACAUCCCAAAGUAGUAGUGGAUAGCUAUGAUGCAGGAAGACUGUACUGCAUUUGCACUUUAAAUGCUGACCUUUGUUUCUGUGAAAAAUAUAUUGUUUGAGACUCUAAAUAUGAGUGAAUGUUUACACAAGCUUGAACUCUUUUGUAAAUGUGAAGUUAAAGUUAUUUCACUUUUCAUUUAUAAGAUGGGAUGAACAUGUUAAAGCUCAUUAUCUCUAAACCUCUGAGUGAGCACACAGAUGUAACCUUGUAAAUCCAAGGUACUAAAGCAUAUUAUGUACACAGUUAUGUUCAUAAUUAAGAAGUCAUAAAGGGCUCUUUAAAGUUAGUUAACUGAUUUUGCACUGAAACAUGAGAAAUGUGGCGCUAUAGUGAACAACAGGUUAUCUAUUUUCUUUUAUUAAAGAGAUUGUUUUUCUUUUAAAUGUAUGGAAGAGCUCCAUAAUAAAUUUUGUCAAAUCAUAUUUUAGUUGUAUUUGUUGUGAAUUGGAAUAAAUCUAACUGAAAGUGUUUAAUGGCCAUAUGAUAUUGUCUAAUAUUGAUUGCAGGCCCCUGAAUUGAAUCGAAUUGAAAUCGUAUCGUGGCAGGCUUUGUGAUAUCUGCAAAUAUCGUAUUGUUACCCAAAGAAUCAAUAUAAUAUCAUAUCGUGACAAAACUUGUGAUCUACAUCCCUAGUCUCUAAAUGAUGUUUGUUGGGAGUUGCGCAUGCAUAGCUAAGGACUACUAGCCAAUCAGAAGUAGAGAAGGGCGGGCCAGCGAGAAACCCAUAAACUGCUUCGAUUCAGCUGUAGGCUACAUGUUACCGACCGGCUUAGCAACAUGGACUGAAGCAAGAUGGAUGGAGAAUUUAUUGUCAUUGCACAUGAAAUACAACGAGAUGCAGUUUAGAGCAAACCAUUGAACUUAGCAGCUUCUAUAAAUAAAUAAAUACGCCAUAAAAGGAUUGCAUAAAAU
This is a long non-coding RNA of Micropterus salmoides (largemouth bass), 2684 nucleotides long. RefSeq lists it as uncharacterized. NCBI's taxonomy places the organism in Eukaryota, Metazoa, Chordata, Actinopteri, Centrarchiformes, Centrarchidae. The record is from RefSeq and is a predicted model, not a curated record. The transcript has 3 exons.